GCGCGCUUAACACAUGCAAGUCGAACGAGAACGGGUUAAAGCUUGCUUUAACUGUCAGCUAAGUGGCGCACGGGUGAGUAAUAUAUAGGUAACGUGCCCUAGAGAGGGGGAUAACAGAUGGAAACGUCUGCUAAGACCCCAUAUGCCUUUAAGACUAAAGUCUGCAAGGGAAACAUUUAUGGCUCUAGGAUCGGCCUGUACGGUAUCAGUUAGUUGGUGAGGUAAUGGCUCACCAAGACAAUGACACCUAACUGGUUUGAGAGGAUGAUCAGUCACACUGGAACUGAGACACGGUCCAGACUCCUACGGGAGGCAGCAGUGGGGAAUAUUGCACAAUGGGGGAAACCCUGAUGCAGCAACGCCGCGUGGAGGAUGACACAUUUCGGUGCGUAAACUCCUUUUAUAUAGGAAGAUAAUGACGGUACUAUAUGAAUAAGCACCGGCU
RNAcentral lists this ribosomal RNA (445 nucleotides) under uncultured Campylobacterota bacterium. RNAcentral's name for it is "bacterial SSU rRNA". It matches the Rfam family "Bacterial small subunit ribosomal RNA", at positions 42 to 498 of the family's 1533-position model. The record is from RNAcentral. Lineage: Bacteria; Pseudomonadati; Campylobacterota.